Molecule: non-coding RNA, 75 nt
Organism: Myotis brandtii (Brandt's bat)
Lineage: Eukaryota; Metazoa; Chordata; Mammalia; Chiroptera; Vespertilionidae
Source: Rfam
GAGACACCCCGUGGAGCAGGAUUUGCAUUAGUGGGGCUUUGGUGCUCAUUGAAUCUGCCCCAUGAGUGUGUCCCU